RNAcentral lists this transfer RNA (72 nucleotides) under Camelus bactrianus (Bactrian camel). It matches the Rfam family "tRNA". Rfam says of the family: Transfer RNA (tRNA) molecules are approximately 80 nucleotides in length. Their secondary structure includes four short double-helical elements and three loops (D, anti-codon, and T loops). Lineage: Eukaryota; Metazoa; Chordata; Mammalia; Artiodactyla; Camelidae. The record is from Rfam by way of RNAcentral. RNAcentral also lists the same sequence under 1 other name.
GUGGGUGUAGCCCAGUGGUAGAGCGCAUGCUUAACAUGCAUGCGGUCCUGGGUUCAAUCCCCAGGACCUCCA